This is a long non-coding RNA of Aquila chrysaetos chrysaetos, 941 nucleotides long. RefSeq lists it as uncharacterized. The transcript has 3 exons. NCBI's taxonomy places the organism in Eukaryota, Metazoa, Chordata, Aves, Accipitriformes, Accipitridae. The record is from RefSeq and is a predicted model, not a curated record.
GAACCUUCUCCCGCUGCCACCCUGCCGCCGAAAACAGCCCACCCAAACAAACAGCAAAGGGGCUCGGUCCGCCGCCACGAAACCCGAGCAGAGCCGGAGCAUCGGCAGCAGCGGAGCGGUCCUUAGCUUUUGUCUCCGUACGCUGCCUUUUUCCUUUCUCUCCUUCCAAACUUUCGGGCGCUCGCUCUGAGCUGUAUUUAUAGACCUGGAGCGCACGGCUGUAUUUUUCCUUGUGCCUCCUUUGGCUUGGGCUUAAGUCACUGGCAGGGAAAAUAAAAAGGAGGCAGGCAGGCGGGCAGACAAACAGGAGGACAGAAAGGGAAGGGAGCUGUAGGUCCCGCAGACGGGACCCGGAGGGAGGCAGGGGCAGGCGGCCGGGGGUGCGGGACCCCCCUCUGCUCUGGGUGGACGAGAGAGAGCGUGGAUGGUGAAAGUCUCUAACCAAGUAUCUCAGUAACGUGGAUGGGGUAAUUGUCGUGUUGUUAAGCUCUUCCUUAUUGACGCGCACCACAUUUAGCCCCUGGUCUCCGAAAUGGAUGUCAAAGCAGGUUGUGACAUCUUUAGAGAGCCUGUCCUGCAGGGUUUUCUGUUACCGCCAAGAGUAUCCUCAUGUACGGUGCCCUCCGUGGCCAGGGGCCAGCGACGGAACGGAGUCAAAUGAAUAAAAUAAGUGCAAACUAGUCUUCUUUGCACAGAGACGUCAAGAUGCGUGUAAAAGGGGAGCAUCUAGAAAAGAUGAAAAUCCGAGUUUUCCAGCUCCAAAUUAUUACAUUCUCAGCAACCGAACACGAUCAUUACGCACGAGAGACGGGCAAAAUCCUACUCGUAUACUGAUUAUUGUUAUGACAAGGAGCAGUAACGGCUUUUGUUAUAAAAAUACUGUUUGUUAUGAAGAAACUGAGUGAGCAGCCACCCAGAUAAACACUCCCUGCGUCUAACAA